RNAcentral lists this small RNA (28 nucleotides) under Bombyx mori (domestic silkworm). RNAcentral describes it as "ovarian small RNA-10295". Lineage: Eukaryota; Metazoa; Arthropoda; Insecta; Lepidoptera; Bombycidae. The record is from RNAcentral.
AACCAUCGUUCGCAACUCGGCCAUGUCC